GUCUGUGGCCAUACCACCCUGAAUGCACUCAAUCUCAUCUGAUCUCAGAAACUAAGCAAGAUUGGGUCUGGUUAGUACUUGGAGGGAGACUGCCUGGAAAUACUGGGUGCUAUAGGCU
This 118-nucleotide ribosomal RNA is filed under the name Cervus elaphus hippelaphus. The record is from RNAcentral. RNAcentral also lists the same sequence under 1 other name. Lineage: Eukaryota; Metazoa; Chordata; Mammalia; Artiodactyla; Cervidae.